This 336-nucleotide unclassified non-coding RNA is filed under the name soil metagenome. RNAcentral's name for it is "partial contains 5.8S ribosomal RNA, internal transcribed spacer 2, and large subunit ribosomal RNA". The stretch from base 1 to 120 matches the Rfam family "5.8S ribosomal RNA", at positions 35 to 154 of the family's 154-position model. The record is from RNAcentral.
GAUGAAGAACGUAGCGAAAUGCGAUAAGUAAUGUGAAUUGCAGAAUUCAGUGAAUCAUCGAAUCUUUGAACGCACAUUGCGCCCGCCAGUAUUCUGGCGGGCAUGCCUGUUCGAGCGUCAUUUCAACCAUCAAGCCCCAGGCUUGUGUUGGGGACCUGCGGCUGCCGCAGGCCCUGAAAACCAGUGGCGGGCUCGCUAGUCACACCGAGCGUAGUAGCAUACACAUCGCUCAGGGCGUGCUGCGGGUUCCGGCCGUUAAACCCCUUUUUUACCCAAGGUUGACCUCGGAUCAGGUAGGAAGACCCGCUGAACUUAAGCAUAUCAAUGAGCGGAGGA